Molecule: transfer RNA, 83 nt
Filed under: Treponema sp.
Lineage: Bacteria; Pseudomonadati; Spirochaetota; Spirochaetia; Treponematales; Treponemataceae
Description: tRNA-Leu
Rfam family: tRNA
About the family: Transfer RNA (tRNA) molecules are approximately 80 nucleotides in length. Their secondary structure includes four short double-helical elements and three loops (D, anti-codon, and T loops).
Source: RNAcentral
GCCGGCAUGGUGGAAUGGCAGACACGGCAGACUCAAAAUCUGCUGGGGGUAACCCCGUGAGAGUUCAAGUCUCUCCGCCGGCA